RNAcentral lists this long non-coding RNA (231 nucleotides) under Elaeis guineensis (African oil palm). Its description in RNAcentral is "long non-coding RNA (EGUI_LNC030335)". The record is from RNAcentral. Lineage: Eukaryota; Viridiplantae; Streptophyta; Magnoliopsida; Arecales; Arecaceae.
CUGACGUCAGCCACCAUUUAUGGGAGCUAUGAGCAGUCAAAACGUGACAUAGUCAUCGAACUUCCGGAGUCCUGACUUAAUUAUUUGAUAUAAAUAAAUGUAUAUUAUAUGCAUAUAUUGGGAUACAUGUAGAAAGAAAUAUACAAAUUUAUAAAUAUAUCACAUAUGACUACUUGUCGUACUUGAAGAAGAAGAGAACACGCAAUUAAGUUGGACCAUAAAAAACCUAGC